RNAcentral lists this ribosomal RNA (235 nucleotides) under uncultured bacterium. Its description in RNAcentral is "partial 16S ribosomal RNA". It matches the Rfam family "Bacterial small subunit ribosomal RNA", at positions 524 to 758 of the family's 1533-position model. The record is from RNAcentral.
UACGAAGGGGGCUAGCGUUGUUCGGAAUACUGGGCGUAAAGCGCGCGCAGGCGGUCUUCCAAGUCAGUGGUGAAAGCCCGGAGCUCAACUCCGGAACUGCCAUUGAAACUGUUGGACUUGAGUACGAGAGAGGUGAGUGGAAUUCCCAGUGUAGAGGUGAAAUUCGUAGAUAUUGGGGAAGAACACCGGUGGCGAAGGCGGCUCACUGGCUCGUAACUGACGCUCAGGCGCGACG